ACCCUAUUAUUGAGAAUAGAAAAUUGUAAGUAAAUAUUAAUUACGAAAGCAAAAAAUUAUGGCGGUAUUUUAAGCUUUUCAGAGGAAUUUGCUCUUUAAUGGAUAAAACACCUAAAUCUUACUUAAAUUAGUGCUUUUCAGUUUGUAUACCACUAUUACAAUAAUAAUUUGUUAUUAUUAUUAAUAUUCUUGUGUUAGAAGAAAAUUAAGUCAAGGUGCAGCAUAAAUUUAUGAAUGAAGUGAAUUACAUUUCUUUUAAGAAAAAUAAAAUUGAAAUAAAAUAUUUAGGAUUUGAUAGUAAAAUUAAAAUAUAAAGUUAAUUUGAAUUAAGCUCUAAAAUAUGUAC
Molecule: ribosomal RNA, 346 nt
Filed under: Hyalomma truncatum
Lineage: Eukaryota; Metazoa; Arthropoda; Arachnida; Ixodida; Ixodidae
Description: partial small subunit ribosomal RNA
Source: RNAcentral